UAAAAGGGUUUCUGCCGUGAGUGGCACACGGGGGAGGCUCGCGCUUUCCCCGUGCGGAAUCGAUAUCAAGAGAUUUCGGAAGCACAAUUUUUGUUCCGAGGGGCUGCUGGUGAUCGAUUGUCCCGGCGCCCCC
This is a small nuclear RNA of Mobula hypostoma (lesser devil ray), 133 nucleotides long. RefSeq annotates it as U11 spliceosomal RNA. The transcript has a single exon. NCBI's taxonomy places the organism in Eukaryota, Metazoa, Chordata, Chondrichthyes, Myliobatiformes, Myliobatidae. The record is from RefSeq and is a predicted model, not a curated record.